Molecule: long non-coding RNA, 212 nt
Filed under: Elaeis guineensis (African oil palm)
Lineage: Eukaryota; Viridiplantae; Streptophyta; Magnoliopsida; Arecales; Arecaceae
Description: long non-coding RNA (EGUI_LNC020674)
Source: RNAcentral
GCCUGAUGGUUUCGACUGGACAUACUCUGCAGCUAAUAGAAAUAAAUAUGGGAAUGAUGAAUAUACAUACAUAAAUAGAAAUUUGAAUAUAAAAUAUAGUAUAUAUGAUUCAGAAAGAGGAAAAUAAAAAGGAGACAUGAGAAUGCAUUCCUAAGGGGACUUCAUUUCAGUGCUUUUGUUGCCUAAAUGCAUAUAUAGUUGCAUAUAAGAAA